Equus caballus (horse) is the source of this 1788-nucleotide long non-coding RNA. RefSeq lists it as uncharacterized. Lineage: Eukaryota; Metazoa; Chordata; Mammalia; Perissodactyla; Equidae. The record is from RefSeq and is a predicted model, not a curated record.
GAUUGUUUUCUUAAUUUAUUUUUCUGGCAGUUUGUUGUUGGUGUAUAGAAAUGCAACUGAUUUUUGUAGCUUGAUCUAACAUGCUACAAGUUUACCGAAAUCAUGUAUUAGUUCUAAUAGUUUUUUGUGGGUCUUUAGGGUUUUCUAUAUAUAAUAUCAUGUCAUCUGCAAACAGAGACAGUUUUACUUCUUAUUUCCUGACUUGGAUGCCUUUUAUUCCUUUAUCUUGCCUAUUUACUCUGGCUAGGACUUCCAGCACUAUUAUGAAUGAAAGCGGUGAGACUGGACAUCCUUGUCUUGUUCCUGAUUUGAGAAGAGGGGAGCUCAGGAGGCUCCUGUGUCCCCAUCUUCAAAACUGCAUUCUUCUAUAUAAAGGAAAAUUCACUCCUUGGAAAAACAUUUUCUAAUGAAAUCUUCUUGGUUACCCUCCUACUAGCCUACCUCAAGCCAUUCGUAAUACCAUUUAAUAUUUGUUAACCUAAUGAUUUUAAUAUGUAACUGGAAUUACGUAUAGUUCAGCUCUACAAUUUAAGUAGGUAAGGGAAGAGGAAAGUUGAAGAGCUGAGUUGACUGAUUGCUGAAGGAUUUGUCCAGCUUGGGAGCCAGAGUUGUGGUGUUGCAUUAACUGCCUUAGCAGUAUGAUGCUAUUUCUUCCCUGUCUGUUACACAUUCAGAAAAAAAGCAGAAGCCGUAAGAUAGGGAAUGCGAGGUAAGGUGGUGUUAUGGAGAGAGAAAUGGCCUGACCCAGUUUCCAAUGGUAAUAGUAGGAAAUAGCAGUUGAGUGCCUCAAAAAUUUCAGGAUAUUAUGGCAUGUUGCUGUAUCUUAGCUCAUUUAAUCUUCACAAGGACCCUUUCAAAUGAUACUAUUAUCCCUACUUUAUAGAAAACUGAGGCCCAGAGGUUAACUUUCUUAAGGCCACACACAGUGAGCGAAAGGAUUCUAAUUCAGAUCCAGAAGUUACAUUGACUCUAACUCUACUCGUAUUUUUCCUACUUCCUUUCUUUGCAGAUGUCAGGUAAGAAGCGAGGUCAAAUAACUAUGCAGCAGUGUGAUGACUGUAUUGGUCAUGAAAGGUUAAGUUGUAAUAAAAUUAGCAGAAAUUCUCCAAAUAGCAAUAUUUAAAAUAACAAAGACUUGUUUCUUUUUACCCUACAGAUCCAACAAGGGUCAACUGAGACUUUUACUCCAUGUCUCCAUGGUCCUCCUCAGAAACUCAGGUUGAGGGGCUCCAUGUCACUUCCAACUCAGUGAAAAAUCAAUGGGAGGAACAAGUAUCCUGACCCAUAGUGCUCAGUCGUGGGCCCAGGUGACAAGCUACAUGUCACUUUCACUCCCAACUCAAUGGAGAGAACCAGUUGCACGGCUCCACCCAACAACAGGGAAAGCAAGAACCACAAUCCUACAGAGUAAUUUUGCUAAUCAGCCACCAGUCACAAGGAAACUGCCAGACAGGAGAGCUUACAUAAGGACAUCAAAGGAGCCGUCUGGAUUAUACUGGCGGGUUGAAAAUAUGUACUGAACUCUUAAAAGUUUCCAGAAAGUCAUUUGAAGUCAAGAUACUGGGGAAUUCUCACUUUUUUAUAAAUGUUGAUUUUUUUGUUUCUUUUGAGCUUCUUUAAUAAACGUCUGUUAGUUUUUUCUUUAAAAUAUGUUUUUCUUAGAGCUACAUCAUUAAAAAACCUCUUGAAAUUAUGGUUCUAUGGUUACUUUGUUACUCAUUCAUUUCUACAAGUUUGAGAUGCUCUAUACAUGUUUUUUGCUAAAUAAAAAUAAUCUUUUGCUUCAGU